This is a long non-coding RNA of Mustela erminea (ermine), 826 nucleotides long. RefSeq lists it as uncharacterized. The record is from RefSeq and is a predicted model, not a curated record. The transcript has 3 exons. Lineage: Eukaryota; Metazoa; Chordata; Mammalia; Carnivora; Mustelidae.
GCCAGCUCCCAAACAUGCCGCUGUUUGCAUUGUAAGUGUUUGCUCUUAAGAUCAUACGGUUGCAGCUGGGAGUAGCUGUAGCUCUAGCUGCUGCUCAGCCAGAGACAACUUUCUCCCACCCCUCAGAAGGAGCUGUUACCACUUCUCCCCAGUGGGAGAUGGUGAAACUCAGAAAGCCUUCCUUGGAGCAUUUAGAGAAGGAAGAGAAUGAUGUAUCAAGGCAAUAUUCCUGGAAGCUGAGAUCAACAGACCAUGAUUAAAGUCAGCUUGCAGUUAUAUUGGCUGAGAAUGUCACACCAGCUGCUUGCACACCCCACAAGAUGAUGAAUGUCUUGCUGCUGUCCGUACUGCUCUCCAGAAUUUAUCAGCAAAAGAGAAAAAUGGGGAAGGUUACAACUCCCAGAGACUCACAAAUUCUUCUUGCAACAGUGAGCAGUGAAGGCUUGGCUGACAGUUAUGAAUGAAUCACUGGCCGUGUGUGUGGUGGCGGGAGGAGUGUCUGAACCUUGGCACUGUAAUCAGGAGUAGCAGGCGCCACCUGGACAGCAAGGGCAGGUGAGGAGGUAGGAGGGCUCUCAUGGCAGAUCCAUUGUUCUUCUAACCAGAGAAUUUUAGCCAGUUGCUCUUGUGGGAAAACUCAUUGUCAAGGUUAGGGAAAUGAAAUUGUAUGGUCUCUUCUCACUGUGGAGGAAUACAUUAUCUGUAGAGAAUGGAGAUCCUGCAGGGGUUCAGGGCCAAGGCACAGGAGUUCUGGUGCUGUAGAGCUAGAGGAAGGGUACGUGGGAAGAAAUCUAGGGGCUGCUGGCUAGGGUGGCAGGAGGUUGGA